RNAcentral lists this ribosomal RNA (257 nucleotides) under uncultured Pseudomonas sp. RNAcentral describes it as "partial 16S ribosomal RNA". It matches the Rfam family "Bacterial small subunit ribosomal RNA", at positions 96 to 355 of the family's 1533-position model. The record is from RNAcentral. Lineage: Bacteria; Pseudomonadati; Pseudomonadota; Gammaproteobacteria; Pseudomonadales; Pseudomonadaceae.
CGGCGGACGGGUGAGUAAUGCCUAGGAAUCUGCCUGGUAGUGGGGGACAACGUUUAGAAAGGAACGCUAAUACCGCAUACGUCCUACGGGAGAAAGCAGGGGACCUUCGGGCCUUGCGCUAUCAGAUGAGCCUAGGUCGGAUUAGCUAGUUGGCGGGGUAAAGGCCCACCAAGGCGACGAUCCGUAGCUGGUCUGAGAGGAUGAUCAGCCACACUGGAACUGAGACACGGUCCAGACUCCUACGGGAGGCAGCAGCC